This 902-nucleotide ribosomal RNA is filed under the name Staphylococcus aureus. RNAcentral describes it as "partial 23S ribosomal RNA". It matches the Rfam family "Bacterial large subunit ribosomal RNA", at positions 1578 to 2481 of the family's 2925-position model. The record is from RNAcentral. Lineage: Bacteria; Bacillati; Bacillota; Bacilli; Caryophanales; Staphylococcaceae.
UUGUGUCUUCGAGUCGUUGAUUUCACACUGCCGAGAAAAGCCUCUAGAUAGAAAAUAGGUGCCCGUACCGCAAACCGACACAGGUAGUCAAGAUGAGAAUUCUAAGGUGAGCGAGCGAACUCUCGUUAAGGAACUCGGCAAAAUGACCCCGUAACUUCGGGAGAAGGGGUGCUCUUUAGGGUUAACGCCCAGAAGAGCCGCAGUGAAUAGGCCCAAGCGACUGUUUAUCAAAAACACAGGUCUCUGCUAAACCGUAAGGUGAUGUAUAGGGGCUGACGCCUGCCCGGUGCUGGAAGGUUAAGAGGAGUGGUUAGCUUCUGCGAAGCUACGAAUCGAAGCCCCAGUAAACGGCGGCCGUAACUAUAACGGUCCUAAGGUAGCGAAAUUCCUUGUCGGGUAAGUUCCGACCCGCACGAAAGGCGUAACGAUUUGGGCACUGUCUCAACGAGAGACUCGGUGAAAUCAUAGUACCUGUGAAGAUGCAGGUUACCCGCGACAGGACGGAAAGACCCCGUGGAGCUUUACUGUAGCCUGAUAUUGAAAUUCGGCACAGCUUGUACAGGAUAGGUAGGAGCCUUUGAAACGUGAGCGCUAGCUUACGUGGAGGCGCUGGUGGGAUACUACCCUAGCUGUGUUGGCUUUCUAACCCGCACCACUUAUCGUGGUGGGAGACAGUGUCAGGCGGGCAGUUUGACUGGGGCGGUCGCCUCCUAAAAGGUAACGGAGGCGCUCAAAGGUUCCCUCAGAAUGGUUGGAAAUCAUUCAUAGAGUGUAAAGGCAUAAGGGAGCUUGACUGCGAGACCUACAAGUCGAGCAGGGUCGAAAGACGGACUUAGUGAUCCGGUGGUUCCGCAUGGAAGGGCCAUCGCUCAACGGAUAAAAGCUACCCCGGGGAUAACAGG